This 208-nucleotide ribosomal RNA is filed under the name uncultured bacterium. Its description in RNAcentral is "partial 16S ribosomal RNA". It matches the Rfam family "Bacterial small subunit ribosomal RNA", at positions 568 to 775 of the family's 1533-position model. The record is from RNAcentral.
CUCGUAGGCGGUUCGUCGCGUCCGGUGUGAAAGUCCAUCGCUUAACGGUGGAUCCGCGCCGGGUACGGGCGGGCUUGAGUGCGGUAGGGGAGACUGGAAUUCCCGGUGUAGCGGUGGAAUGUGUAGAUAUCGGGAAGAACACCAAUGGCGAAGGCAGGUCUCUGGGCCGUCACUGACGCUGAGGAGCGAAAGCGUGGGGAGCGAAACA